RNAcentral lists this long non-coding RNA (952 nucleotides) under Musa acuminata (dwarf banana). RNAcentral's name for it is "long non-coding RNA (MACU_LNC004182)". Lineage: Eukaryota; Viridiplantae; Streptophyta; Magnoliopsida; Zingiberales; Musaceae. The record is from RNAcentral.
GCUUCUUUAAGCUAUUUUUUCCAGCUGUCCGGAUUAGUUUUUCUCCGCUUGUAGGUGACGUAGCGGACAACCUUGCUUGUGAGACCCAGGCAGUUUAUCUUAUCUAUUUUAUCCAUCUGAUAAUUAGUAUUUCUCCGCUUGUAGGUGACAUAGUGAACAACCUUGUUUGUCAGACCCAAGCAGCUUGUCUUAUCUAUUUUAUCCAUCUGAUAAUUAGUAUUUCUCCGCUUGUAGGUGACAUAGUGAACAACCUUGUUUGUCAGACCCACGCAGCUUGUCUUAUCUAUUUUAUCCAUCUCACAAUUGGUUUUUCUCCGCUUGUAGGUGACAUGGUGAACAACCUUGUUUGUCAGACCCAGGCAGCUUGUCUUACCUAUUUCAACCAUCUCACAGUGAAGCUUUCUCCGCUUGUAGGUGACAUAGUGAACAACCUUGUUUGUCAGACCCAGGCAGCUUGUCUUACCUAUUUCAUCCAUCUCACAAUUAAGCUUUCUCCGCUUGUAGGUGACAUAGUGAACAACCUUGUUUGUGAGACCCAGGCUUCGUGUCUUACGUAUUCCAUUCAACGUACAACUAGUUUUUCUCCGCUUGUAGGUGACACAGUGAACAAUCUUGUUUUUAAGACCCAGGCAGUAAGUCUUACCUAUUUCAUCCAUCUCACAAUUGACAGCAUAAGUUUCAGACUCUCCAUCUACUGAUUUAUACUGCUGCUCACAUAUAUCAAAAGCUUUCCCUUUAAGCUUCUUGCCUUUUAAAACAUCACUUUCAUUUUCAACCAUGUUUUUCCCUAGAUCACUUCCAUAAUUCCUCAACCUCUUCUCUUGGUCAUUAUUUUCCUCUUCAGAUGACAAGUCAACUAAAUUGCUUGAUUCCUCACCAUUCAUUUCGUGUUUCCUCUUUUGGAGUAAUUCUAUUAGAUCCAUAAGCUCUCUGUUGACCUGGAGCAAAAAAU